AUGAGGUUUGUGAGUGGAAUUGCCGUUCUUUUGACUUUGGGUAUUGCGGGUGAUGCUAAAACUACACAGCCAGAUUCAAUGGAAAGUAUUGAAGAAGAAACUGUACACUUGCCUUGUAGCCACUCCGCCAUCAGUGGGAUCGAGUACAUUUACUGGUACCGACAGGUUCCUCUUCGUGGUCCAGAAUACGUGAUUCAUGGUCUACAACAAAACACAAGCAAUAGAAUGGCCUUUCUGGCUAUUCCCUCUGACAGAAAGUCAAGUACCUUGAUCCUGCCUCUGGUCAGCCUGAGCGAUGCUGCUGUGUAUCACUGUAUCCUGAGAGAAGCACACUACAUACAUGGUGGCUGUGCGACAGACAAGCUCGUCUUUGGACAAGGAACCCAAGUGAUUGUGGAACCAAAAAUUCAGCCUCCUACCACACCAUCUGUAUUCAUUAUGAAAAAUGGAACGAAUGUUGCCUGUCUGGUGAAGGACUUCUAUCCCAAGGACGUGAAUAUAAGUCUCAAGUCAUCCAGGAAGAUAGCGGAAUUUGACCCUGCUAUAGUCAUCUCCCCCAGCGGGAAGUACAGCGCUGUCAAGCUUGGUCAGUAUGGAGAUUCGAAUUCAGUGACAUGUUCGGUUCAGCACAACAGUGCAACUGUGCACUCGACAGACUUUGAACCACAUGCAAAUUCUCCUGAUGACAUAAAACCACCAGAACAGGAAAGUGCCACACAAGCUUCAGAGACUUGCCAUGGCUCAAAAGUUCACAGCAAGGAUGUAAACAUGAUGUCCCUCAUAGUGCUGGGGCUACGGGUGCUGUUUGUCAAGAGUGUCGCCAUCAACUUUCUCUUUACUGCCAAGUUACUCUUCUUUUAAGGCUGGCUGGCUUGAGGAGACCAUGAUUCCUGAAAGAAACCAAAAGUUUACAAAGAUGCUAUAUCCAAGGCUUCCAACUCCUAAGUGCUUCGAACUGACCCGUCACCAUUGCAUCUAAAGGGAUGCUAGGAAAACCAGCUUUUCUGUGACGGCAGCAAGCCAGCUAAUCCUCCAGUCCAGUAGAAAAGCAAAAGCCCUGGGGAGUGGGGUUUGUGGGCCUGGCUUUACACGCUGCUUUAUAAAAGCAUAGAAAGCUAUGAAAAUAUAGACUUGUUUUCCUUUACCCGUAUAACUGUUAUACUUUGAAAACGGUUUCCCUCCAUCUUUAUUUACCCAGAACUAGAAAGUGGGGAGAAGCAAAUACCAGUUUAAUAACCCGGGGGGGAAGUGGUCUUGGGAGAGAGAACAUGUGUCAUGUUAGCUAAACACGGAAAGCUGCCCACUCCUAGCCAGCGCCCUCCUCCCUCCCCUGAGGACAGUAUGGCCCACUCUCUGCCUUUGCUCCCACGCUGUGCAGGAGAGUCUUCCCAGCAGCAGUAGGGCGCCAAUGACUUCAGCACUUUCUGUUUCUCCUAAUACUUUAUGCUCAUCUUUGGCUCCUGAAAGCUCUCCAAACAGACAAUAA
Alexandromys fortis (reed vole) is the source of this 1486-nucleotide non-coding RNA. Lineage: Eukaryota; Metazoa; Chordata; Mammalia; Rodentia; Cricetidae. The record is from the annotation of a RefSeq genome assembly.